GGCGUGGUCGCCAAGUGGUAAAGCCGAGGACUGCAAAUCUUCCAGCGUCGAUUCGAUUCCGACCCGCGCCU
RNAcentral lists this transfer RNA (71 nucleotides) under Opitutales bacterium. RNAcentral's name for it is "tRNA-Cys". It matches the Rfam family "tRNA". From Rfam's summary of the family: Transfer RNA (tRNA) molecules are approximately 80 nucleotides in length. Their secondary structure includes four short double-helical elements and three loops (D, anti-codon, and T loops). Lineage: Bacteria; Pseudomonadati; Verrucomicrobiota; Opitutia; Opitutales. The record is from RNAcentral.